AACGCUAGCUACAGGCUUAACACAUGCAAGUCGAGGGGCAGCAUGGUCUUAGCUUGCUAAGACCGAUGGCGACCGGCGCACGGGUGAGUAACACGUAUCCAACCUGCCGACAACACUGGGAUAGCCUUUCGAAAGAAAGAUUAAUACCGGAUGGUAUAGUUUUCCCGCAUGGGAUAAUUAUUAAAGAAUUUCGGUUGUCGAUGGGGAUGCGUUCCAUUAGGCAGUUGGCGGGGUAACGGCCCACCAAACCUACGAUGGAUAGGGGUUCUGAGAGGAAGGUCCCCCACAUUGGAACUGAGACACGGUCCAAACUCCUACGGGAGGCAGCAGUGAGGAAUAUUGGUCAAUGGACGAGAGUCUGAACCAGCCAAGUAGCGUGAAGGAUGACUGCCCUAUGGGUUGUAAACUUCUUUUAUACGGGAAUAAAGUUAGCCACGUGUGGUUUUUUGUAUGUACCGUAUGAAUAAGGAUCGGCUAACUCCGUGCCAGCAGCCGCGGUAAUACGGAGGAUCCGAGCGUUAUCCGGAUUUAUUGGGUUUAAAGGGAGCGUAGGCGGGUUGUUAAGUCAGUUGUGAAAGUUUGCGGCUCAACCGUAAAAUUGCAGUUGAUACUGGCGACCUUGAGUGCAACAGAGGUAGGCGGAAUUCGUGGUGUAGCGGUGAAAUGCUUAGAUAUCACGAAGAACUCCGAUUG
Molecule: ribosomal RNA, 693 nt
Filed under: uncultured bacterium
Lineage: Bacteria
Description: bacterial SSU rRNA
Rfam family: Bacterial small subunit ribosomal RNA
Source: RNAcentral